Long non-coding RNA from Phalaenopsis equestris, 416 nucleotides. RefSeq lists it as uncharacterized. The transcript has 2 exons. Lineage: Eukaryota; Viridiplantae; Streptophyta; Magnoliopsida; Asparagales; Orchidaceae. The record is from RefSeq and is a predicted model, not a curated record.
GUAAAAUACACCUUUUCCAUGCAUAAAUAUGAAAGUUUAGGUUUGAAAUAUAUAAAUACAUAGGAAAUGUGGGGGCUGUGAAUGUAAACAUCCAUCUUUUGAUUAGCAUUAGUGUAGAGUUCUUCUUGGAUGGCUCCGCUCUCCCCAACUGAGUUGGUAUUGUAUGUAAAUCCACUUCAGCUGAGGAUUUGGAGAGCUUGUUUGUUCGGCCAUCUGCUGGUGGAUCUAUAUUUCCUGGCCCUCUACAAUAAAAGCUUGCACCAGUAGUGUGUUACCCUCUCCUCAAAUCUGAAUGAAAACCAAAGCUUUUGUCUGAGUUCUGCGCCUGCUUUUACCCUUUUUUUCUGCACCACGAAACAAAUCGUAAGACCCAAACUAUCUAUGGUUCUCUUCUCCUGGGAUUGUUUCUGUGAAAA